Molecule: long non-coding RNA, 400 nt
Organism: Syngnathus acus (greater pipefish)
Lineage: Eukaryota; Metazoa; Chordata; Actinopteri; Syngnathiformes; Syngnathidae
Exons: 3
Source: RefSeq, a predicted model, not a curated record
GUGAAGCCGGAAGUGAAGCUUUAGACACAAGUAGAUCGCCAAAUUGAUCGUCUCCGUUUUCAGAACGCUUUAAAAUUAUUAUUUUUUACUUAAUAGGGGCAGUAUAUCUUCUUUUGGAGACAUUAGAGAGUCAAAGUCUCGGCAUGACGCAGCAUUUCCAUCAGGCCUCAUCGCCUUCGACUUCCCGUGCAGACGUCGCUUUAAGGCAGGAGGGGCUGAUGGGAAAGCAGUCAGCCAAGAGGGUGGAGCUGAAUCUAAAGGUGUUGGCAUUCAGGUCGGGCGCUGUGACACUAAAAGAGGACGACGAACGAUUCCCGUGAAGAUGGAUGAUGAAAACGUGAGUGUUGUGAGCCACUCUGUGCUGAUGAUGAUGUCUCUGGUGGGCCCAACUGUGGGAGAG